GCUGGGUGUGGAGGUGCACAACUGUAAUCCAAGCAGCUUGGGAGGCUGAUACAGGAGGAUCAUGAGCUCAAAACUAUCCUCAGCAACUUAGUGAGGCCCUAAGCAGCUCAGUGAGACCCUGUCUCUA
RNAcentral lists this small RNA (127 nucleotides) under Marmota monax (woodchuck). The record is from RNAcentral. Lineage: Eukaryota; Metazoa; Chordata; Mammalia; Rodentia; Sciuridae.